Molecule: non-coding RNA, 3531 nt
Organism: Equus caballus (horse)
Lineage: Eukaryota; Metazoa; Chordata; Mammalia; Perissodactyla; Equidae
Source: RefSeq, a predicted model, not a curated record
AGGCUGCCCACACUGGAAUAUCCACUAUGGAGCAUCCAUUCCAUAAGAGCUGAGCUCCUGUCCAUCUCGGUCCCGACUGCAUCCCGACUGAUCCUUGGGACAAUGCCUGGAUCCCCUACGUGGCCGGCAGCAGUACAGAAUGAUAAACUCCUAGUGAAGGGAAGCUGAUCUCCCCAAAAUGCAGAUGCGUUUACCCUUUGAUGCAGCGACCCCACUUCUGGGCAUUUCCUUUACAGAUUCAAUUGCACGUAUACGAUAACAUGUGCACAAAAGUAUUUACUGUGACUUUGUUUGUAUUAUAAUAACAAAAGGUUAUAAACAACCCACGCCCAUCAGUAGAAAAUGAGUUGAAUAAACUAUGGUACAUAUGGAAAUGGAAUGCUAUACAGCUGUUAAAAAUAUUGCAGAAGAUAUCUAUGUGCAGACAAGGACAGAUCCGGGGACAAAGAAUAUACAUAGAGUGCUUUCUAACACACAAAGUGAGAUUUAUAUAUUUAUAUUUGCUUAUAAAUAAAAAAUAAGGAACAAUAGCUACCAGUGGGGGAGUCUUCUUAGUUUAUAUCUUUUUAUCUAAUUUUGAACUUUGAGCUGUGUAAACGUAUUAUGUAUUGAAAAAAGAAUGGUGCCUGGCACAUGGCAGAUGCUCAGCUAAUUGUGUUGAAAGAAAGCAGGGAUUAGUGAAUGAACAUAUGACUUUGAUGAGAAAGACAAGUGACUAGACAUGUUGAGGCCGCCAUGGUAGCCCGCUGCGAGAGGAACUAACAGCUCCCUCAGCCUGGGGGGAUGAGAGUCACGCAUUACUCAGUGUGCUGAAGAGUGUCCCUAAGGGAGGACCUUAUGGUUAUAGGAGCAGGUCUGAGUCUACGGCUCUGCGUGCGGGUGGUCCUCAAGGUCAAGGUGAGUCUACUAGGCAGGCAUUCAUUCGUUAUUCGUUCAUCCACUCAAGAAAUCCUUGCUGGGUGUUACUUUGUGCAAGGUCGUGCACUGAGGGCUGUGGACAUCAGGAGAACUGGGCAGCUGUGAUCCCCGUCCUCUGGGAGCUCACAGUCCAAGGCACACAGGAGUCGAAGGUGUAUCCUGAGCCCGCACCCCUCCGUUUGGCUUUAGCCUGUCCCGCUCUCCUUUGGAUGAGUCUCCUGGGGACAGAGGGGUGGAAUAAAGAGGAAAUCAAAUACUAAUUUGCAGAAUUAUAGUGAAGUUGUGAGUACGGAGCAGAGGGAGUUUGUUACCCUGGAACAGGGCAUGCUAACUCAUGGGGGCCUGAACUUCCCACCUCUUUAACUCCUUUGUGGGCAAAAGAAACUUCUAGGUCAUUGGAACAGACUGGAAGGAAGCAUCCUGUUGGCAGUGUUGGGGUACUGUACGUGGCAGUAGGGAAACAGAGACUCGUGGUUUUCCUGGGGGCUCCUGAGCCUCCCAAGAGCCAGCAGACCCCACGGCAACGUGGAGAACACCCGCUGUUGUCAACAUUUACGAGGCGCACUCCACGUGGUCUUCUGCUUUGGGCGAAGGAAAGGGUUUUUGAGGGUCACCGUCCAGUGGUCUCUCCUGAUCUGGAAGCACAGAAAUGUAGUUUGUUAUGUUUAUUGUAAGCUGACCAAAUUCACAAGAUGAUAACCUGGAAAUGACCGGUGACAAAUGACUUAACCUUGUCCCUUCCCAAAAUGAAAGAAAUCUGUGCGCUCAGUUGAGAGCCGACCUUCUAUUAAAGAUGCAUGUUCGAGAUGCAUUUCAAAAUCGUGGCAGUAACCCUGAUCCGAUGGAAAGACUUCCUUGUGAUCUUGCCUCUGGAGUUCAUUUUUGGGAACAGAAUGAACCUGGAAGCAAAGCAAGAGUAUGAGUAUAAAAAGAUGGCGGAGGGACAGACUGUUCUUGGCACGAAAUUGCAGCCAUUUUAAUGAUUCAGUUAGAGCAAAUUUAAAUUAAUAACACCCCUUUCUAUCAUAAGUGUUUUGGUGACCCACAGCCCAAGGAAAUGAUCAAAAUCAAUGAUAGUAUUUCCAAGAGUAAUUUACAGUCUACAGUUUUCAGAUGCUUCAGUCCGUUUAUGCUUCACCAAAUCCCGUAAGGAGACACUACCCUCUCCGUUUAAUGAUGAGUCAAGAGUUCCGGGCCUCGCCCGGGGGGCACUGUGCUCACAGGUGAGGGAGGCAGAACUUGAAUUUGAUCCUUUUUGGCACUGGAGCUUCUGCACUUUCCACCACGCCACACGCGCAAUGUCAGCAUGGUACCUCUGCCUGGUGAGCCUCCUCACCUUCUGAUGACACUCACUCACUACAAAGGCCACCGUGUGUAUGGAGGUAGAACUUUGAACUUGACCUGCUGUAGAUGUGCCGGCCUCUGGGCAGCAGGAAGAGAGAAGUGAAAAGUGGCUGACCUUCUGCUCUUCUCAUCCUCGGCGUGAAGUCACCGCCGUUGUAAUCGUUCCAUCGAGCUCUCGCUAAUGGAGAAGAUGAGUGUCCCCAGGGCAGAGGCUGUCGCUGUCUCAUUGACUGUUGUGCACAUUGCCUAGACCACAGCUGGAUGCUGAAUGAGUAAAUAAACCCCCAGCACAUCCCAAAUGAUUUGGGAAGGAUAUGUUAGAAGAUUGGUGGUGGUUAUACAGAGUAUGGGGGAGAGGGAAGACCUAAAGAGACAGAUUUUUGAUGGCAUCCUGACUCUCUACUCUAACUCAUUCAAAAGUAGACUAAAGGGGCUAUCGUACUUUUUCCUCCAGCUUAAUGUGGCUUGGUAACCUAGAUAGCCAUGAACUCAGUUAACUUCAAAAUGAUGCUCAGAAAUAUGGUAUUUGGGAUAAAGAAACAAGCUCAGAGAGGUUAAAUGGUUUUCCCAAAGUCACACAGCUGGCGAACAGCUCAGCAAGCCUGACCCAGCGUCUUUGGACUAAACCCAGGGCUCAUUGCGUUAUUCUCGUUGCUUCUCCAUCAGGGACCCUUGAGACCAAACAUUAGAAUUCCUGGGAGCAGAGGAGGAGAAAGCAGAGGAGCCUGCCUCCAGAUCUUAUUCUUAGGCUGAAUAAUCUUCCGUUGUAUGUAUGGACUACAUUUUGCUCAUCCAUUCAUCUCUUGAUGGACAUCCGGGUUGCUUCCACUUUGGCCUAUUAGACAACAUUUUAUAUGCUUGACCUCAGUCAGAAUUCAAAUCUGGUGAACAGGAAGGAGGAAAUGGGAAGACCUGCGUGCUGAAUUAUCAUCUUUGGCGGAUAAAGUCAUCUGACUUUUGAGGCAGAACAAAUGAGUGGCAUGUCUAUCUCAUAAACACUGAAGAGAAGAGAAGGCUGCUCCAAUUUUAACGCUUUAUGCUUAGUGUUUUGGAAAUAGCAGCAAGACUGGAAGCACUGUGCUAAAAAUGGAGCUUCUGAGACAGCCCUCCUCUCCCUUAUUUCGCUUCCAGGAGAUAAGUAAGGGAGCGCAACGUUUCCCAAACGGGAAGCCCGUGAAAGAUGUGGAUCUGGUCAAUAAAUCUUUCAAGAGCUAUAUUUUAUUCAUGACUCCUACACAGUUUUCCUUAUAAAUCUACUCAACCUAUAUA